This 492-nucleotide ribosomal RNA is filed under the name Epicoccum nigrum. RNAcentral describes it as "eukaryotic LSU rRNA". The stretch from base 130 to 283 matches the Rfam family "5.8S ribosomal RNA". Lineage: Eukaryota; Fungi; Ascomycota; Dothideomycetes; Pleosporales; Didymellaceae. The record is from RNAcentral.
ACUUCGGUCUGCUACCUCUUACCCAUGUCUUUUGAGUACCUUCGUUUCCUCGGCGGGUCCGCCCGCCGAUUGGACAACAUUCAAACCCUUUGCAGUUGCAAUCAGCGUCUGAAAAAACAUAAUAGUUACAACUUUCAACAACGGAUCUCUUGGUUCUGGCAUCGAUGAAGAACGCAGCGAAAUGCGAUAAGUAGUGUGAAUUGCAGAAUUCAGUGAAUCAUCGAAUCUUUGAACGCACAUUGCGCCCCUUGGUAUUCCAUGGGGCAUGCCUGUUCGAGCGUCAUUUGUACCUUCAAGCUCUGCUUGGUGUUGGGUGUUUGUCUCGCCUCUGCGUGUAGACUCGCCUUAAAACAAUUGGCAGCCGGCGUAUUGAUUUCGGAGCGCAGUACAUCUCGCGCUUUGCACUCAUAACGACGACGUCCAAAAGUACAUUUUUACACUCUUGACCUCGGAUCAGGUAGGGAUACCCGCUGAACUUAAGCAUAUCAAUAA